This 2332-nucleotide long non-coding RNA is filed under the name Dermacentor andersoni. RNAcentral's name for it is "uncharacterized LOC126540205". Lineage: Eukaryota; Metazoa; Arthropoda; Arachnida; Ixodida; Ixodidae. The record is from RNAcentral.
CAUCAACAGCGUAUUCGUCCGCUACUUUGUGGCGGUAUGAUAGUUGGCAUUCAUUUUCACUAUUUUACUGUGGAUUAUUCGAUCUUCUGUUCUCAUCACGACACCCGACGUGUACUGUGUGCAUGUAACAUAUCUCACAGCCGCUGCGGACAAGUUCAUUGAACUGUCGUGUUGUAGUGCGUCUUGCCUCAACGUGCUAACGCGACGUGCUGUCAUCGACUGGGUGCGCUUGCAUGUCGCCGACCGGCACCAACUUGCAGGGCAGCAGGUCGUCAAUGACGGCAAGGGCGACCCAUUCUUUGUUCAUGUAUGAAAUCAGGCCACAACAACAUGACGGCGCCACAACAGAAUGGAAACAAGAAAAGCAAGAUGGCACAUGCGAGUUGCCUUGUGGUGGCGUCCCAGUGACGUGGACGAUGCCGGGAGAAAUCACUCAACAGCACAGUCGGGUGACCAGGCCCGAGGGAUGACCUGCCUGAUGCGGCAACAGCACGCAACGCCCGGGCUGCUGCGACAGCUCCGACGUGGAACUCAACUAGGGGCAGUGGACAGAGGCACAAGACCAAACGGAUUGGAGGACAUUCGCAUAGCUGUGAUUACUGCCCGUACAGGACGUAUUACAAGUCUCACCUGGAAAGACACAUUCGGACUCACACAGGAGAGAAACCCUACGCAUGUCACCUUUGCCAGUCGGCAUUUUCGGAUCCCAGUGCCUACAGUCGUCACAUGCGAGGACACAUCGAUGAAUCAAACGCUCCACCUGGGUCAUUUACAUGUGGUCCGUAUUAGUCAUCAGGCAUUCAAGACAGGCUUUGUGAGACAACAGACGCCCAACCUGGUGAGAGAUGAACCUCGUCUGCUCAGCGGUUCUGAGAUUUCCUGCCUGUGCUGACACGUGGGUGAAUAUCUUGAAGAAGGUCAGCCUUGCCAUGGCAGUCAGCACUCAAGUGAAAGAAGACUUUUUGAGUGAGUAGCUAAGUUGGCAGUUGAAAUGUGGAAGUAGUGUGGAUUUCAAUGAUACAGCAUCGGAAUGAUGAAUUCGGAGUUGGAGCUUACUCAGACACAUGUGAAGAUGCCGCCUCCUUGCACUUUAUAGACGACCAUCGACCGGGAUUGGUGAUUUCUCACGAUGAACUGCAGCUGCGUGUUUUAGGCAACUGUAUCUGGCACUUGCUGGAUAUCUGUGCUACAGUAUGAUGCUGUGGCAGCGAGCGGUAUGUACCUUUCCUGGAGGCGUUCCCAUUCGAGCUUGCGUAGUGGUGCUGCCAGAAUGAAGCAGGGAAUCAAGUUCCGGAAGAGAGACGAGCCACUCGUGUGCCGCCAAUGCCCAUACCAGACAUGGCACAAGUCCAAUUUUGUGCGACACAAGCGGAUUCACACGGGAGAAAAGCCAUACGCAUGUCACCUGUGCCCGAUGGCGUUUUCUGACUGCAGCUCCUAUAAUCGGCAUGUUCGGAGCCAUUCCUCAUAUUUAUAGUCUGUGUAUAUAUGAAGCACGAAAUUUUCAGCAAAGCUUGCUAGAGCGAACUCUGUGGCUAGUCUACGAGUGUGGUGUUUUGGCAGCAUGGGAAUGAUAGUUAGUACAUGGACUUGCCUAACAUUUGCCCUGGCAUUAGAUAGCUUUAUAAUUCUGUGAAUUCAUCGUUUUCAACAAAACAAUGCAUUGUAUAUGCAGCCAUUUGCAAUGAUUAUAGAUGUUCGAAUGAACAAGGGCGUGACGUGUUUAGAAAAAAUAUUUUUUUUUUCUCCAACACAUUGAGAGGUGAAGUAUAACAAAUAAUGCCACAAAAGAAGUCUGAAGCCAUAAGCACAAAGUACUCGCCUAAUACUCAUCAUCACAUGAUAGCUGAAUGAUCUCAUUGCUAUGCGCUAGUAAUAUUCCUGGGAAACUGAAACAGGGGGGGAAUUAUAGAUUAUCCCACUAAGAGCUCUUAGAGAUAAAUCGGGUGUUGCUUGCAGUCGUUCAACCAUUGUGCAGAGACAUUAAAAUCGGCUGCAGAGUGAAUAUAUUAGGAACUCCAUCAAAAGUUUGUUAUAAUUUGGCAGCCUCAAAACCACCUGUUAAAGAGCUGGAAAAAAUGCUGAGAUGAUGCCAUAUUAUAAAAAAUUAGGUUGACAGAGCUUAAGGCGCAUUCGUACGUGGAAUUUUCUUUUCUUGUACUGUUAGGUUGCCAUGAAUGAAUGAAUGAAUGUGAUAAGUCCACAUGUGAUAAUUUUAAAACGUCAUAGGUCCUUGAGUAAGAUCUCGGCGUGUCCCGCACUGCGAAUAUAUAGCUUACAAUCUGGUGUAAAUGGUUAGCGCAGGCGGUGCCAUGCACUCAGUAGUGCGGUA